This 460-nucleotide ribosomal RNA is filed under the name uncultured bacterium. RNAcentral's name for it is "partial 16S ribosomal RNA". It matches the Rfam family "Bacterial small subunit ribosomal RNA", at positions 338 to 795 of the family's 1533-position model. The record is from RNAcentral.
CCUACGGGAGGCAGCAGUGAGGAAUAUUGGUCAAUGGACGCAAGUCUGAACCAGCCAUGCCGCGUGCAGGAAGACGGCUCUAUGAGUUGUAAACUGCUUUUGUACGAGGGUAAAUCCCGAUACGUGUAUCUGGUUGAAAGUAUCGUACGAAUAAGGAUCGGCUAACUCCGUGCCAUCAGCCGCGGUAAUACGGAGGAUUCAAGCGUUAUCCGGAUUUAUUGGGUUUAAAGGGUGCGUAGGCGGUUCGAUAAGUUAGAGGUGAAAUCCCGGGGCUCAACUCCGGCACUGCCUCUGAUACUGUCGGGCUAGAGUGUAGUUGCGGUAGGCGGAAUGUAUGGUGUAGCGGUGAAAUGCAUAGAGAUCAUACAGAACACCGAUGGCGAAGGCAGCUUACCAAACUACGACUGACGUUGAGGCACGAAAGCGUGGGGAGCAAACAGGAUUAGAUACCCUAGUAGUC